Molecule: small nucleolar RNA, 95 nt
Filed under: Pelusios castaneus (West African mud turtle)
Lineage: Eukaryota; Metazoa; Chordata; Testudines; Pelomedusidae
Description: Small nucleolar SNORD12/SNORD106 (ENSPCEG00000015389.1)
Rfam family: Small nucleolar SNORD12/SNORD106
About the family: This family belong to the C/D class of snoRNA which contain the C (UGAUGA) and D (CUGA) box motifs. This family includes the human ortholog of mouse snoRNA HBII-99 and human snoRNA U106. In humans both HB11-99 and U106 snoRNAs share the same host gene.
Source: Rfam by way of RNAcentral
UCUGUGGAGUGUGAUGACUUCAAACUUUUUUCCCCAGCAGAUCGGCAAUGUUGACCACAACUUGCAUGUUAGCCAGGGCUGUCUGAUUCCACAGA